AUAUGUAGUGUGUUCUGCACAUUUGGCGUUAUUCUCAUGUUUCGUUUUUCUGUGUGUGUGUGUGUGUGUGUGCACUGUACUAUAGCGAGACUUGAGCAGUUGCGUCCCAUUGCACCUGAGGACGCCCUAUUUUCACGAGCAAGUCUCUGUACCGUGUCACAUGUCAGGACAACAUGGCGACCUAGUCGCUGAGGCUCAGGUCCCCCUUCCCAAAUUUCUCCGUUCUAACGGGGGGAAGGGGAUAUGAAAGGAUCCUAAAGUAGGGGUAAGGGGGGGACACAAUGGAGAGAAGGGGGAGAGGUGGAGCCAGGACUAUAAAAGCUGCUGCGGAGCCAGAGAUGAGCUUGCUAUGAGCAGUAAGUUGAUGGGGUCCCAGGCGGAGGAAAUGUUCCGGGACUACGUCAACUACUUGCUUGUCCCAAGCUACAACGUCAGCAGCCUCAUCACCAUGGCAACCAGUCUUCAAGUUUAUUCCAAGCUCUUCCAAGCGGACAUUGCGAUUUAUUUCCAAUUGGUUUAAAUAGAAAAAGAUACUGAAUGAUCGGCCAACCAGGUCCUAUUCUAUCACGCCAUUGAAAUGCAGUUUGUGGAGGUUGAAUAGCAACAAUCCAACGACGUAGCCCUCAUUUAUGACAAGCCAGUAUUCCAUGCUCGAGGUUCACUUGUAUCGCCACCACAUUACUCCAUAUCUGUUCCAAUGUUGGUGUUGAAAGACUAUAGACCUGAUCGUAACCAUCAAAAUGCAUGUAUAAACUAAGAGAGGAUAACCGUGUUUAACGUUUGAUCAAGAAACAAGAAAGUGAAAAGGGCUUUCUAGAACUCUACAUGUCACUGUGACAUUACCAUUAUGGCCAGUUUCAAAAAUUUCUUAUUAGAAGCAAAAUAUCUCCAGCGAUACACACUAGUAGGCUCAGGCAACGCAAGAGAAAACUGCUUAAUUUAUUAUGCUCUUGUAAAAGUUGAAAAAAAUCUAAAUGUUGAGACUUUUAAAAUCUCUUUUGUGGAGGCCCCUUUUUUUAUGGAAGUCCCCGGGCUGCCCUGCCUUAAAUCCGGCCUUGGUCAUACUUAAAUCUAAGAAUUUAGUCAAUAUUCACUUAGAACUAUGAGACUUGGUUGUAGUAACCUUAUAAAUACUACAGGAAAAUAUGUCUUUAUCUUAGGCUUUAUUGUAAAAGAAUGACAAAACAGUUCACAGUAACACAGAACACAUUACAUAGUACACACACAAACUGACCUGGACACCACGACAUUUUAACACACCAGUACAGAUCAGUUCACAACACACAAGAAACAUAAAUACACAACAUUUGUGCUGUUUUGUGACAUUUCAAUGUGUAUCUACUUAGUUCUGUUUCUCCAACUCUCAGUCUUUCUACUUCUGCCAAGUUUAUUCCUGUAUUAGAUGUAGCUACAUACUAGAAAUUAACCAACAACAUUCAUUUUGCUUCAUUAUAUUGUUUGUUUAUUUGUUUUAGAAAAAUAAAUACUUUCGUAAAUCUUAAACUGCAGUACAAAAUAUUGUCACACAAAUCUUGAAGUAAAACUAAUCAAUGAUCAAAGUACAUUGCACGGUGUACUAUCUAAUAGACAAAAUCGCCCAAGUAAAGUAGCAAGCAAUAAUAGGGCAUACAUAAAGAACUAAGGCAUGAUGAACAAAUUCUGAAAUCUAUCAGAAAGAUUCCAAUAAUAAUAAAUGAUGUAUUUAUUUGUUGUAGGCUAUUUAUACACGUGCACAUCUUCCACUGGAAGUUUUCGUACAUAGAAGCAAGCUGGUUUUAGACAAGGCGCAGCACAACAGAACGACUCCUGAACCUCAGGAUAUAUAUAGGCCUACUCUGCGAGAAUUGCCUUCAACACCAAGAGUAUCUUUGCCUUGUCUUAAUUGAUUUCAAAAAAGCUUUCGAGAAUGGAAAAGUACUAUGUAAAUAAUAAAUUACCAAUAGUUGAUAAAUUAAUUGGUUAAUUUUUAAAAAUUGAUUUUUGUUUUGUCAGGUAAAAGAAAUACAAAACAGGGUGUGGGAGAAAUAACGUGUACAAACAUUUUACCAGACCGACAGACAGACAGAGAAAGUUGAUAUAUAAGCUUUGUAAAAAAAAACUAAUCUAAAAUCUCUACAAGCAGGCCACUUGUGUAAAAAAAAAGAUGAUUAAAUAUAAUUUUUUUUUUUUUUUUUUUGUUGUUGUUGUACACAUUUCCUUCAUCACCGAGGACUCAAUAGCCUACUAUUAAUAGCACAUGUAAAGUAGAUCUAUAUUUAUGUUUAUUUUCCCUACAUCUAUAUUUUCAAAUAUUUUUAAAAUCUGAUAUUUUAAAGAAUAUUUACUCAUGAACUUGGUCAAGUGUAUAGCUUAUUUUAGCCUAACCCUCACUUCUGGAGUGAAUAUCAUUUCAGUGUUAACUAAAACUGUCUCGACAUUGUUUAGUUCUAUUUAUAGAAUCAGUAAAUGUAUUUAAAAACUAGCUCUCAUUUCUAGAUCUGUAAACAAAACAAUUCUUGAAGUAGACGCCAAGACAUUAACAACAACAAAUUUGAUGCAAUACAGAGUAGCAGUGAAACUGAAACAAACUCUUAACAAAUGUUUGUAUUGAAAAACUUCAAUGGAAAUCAACGAAAUCGACAAAAAAAAAAAAAAGAUAUUAGAAAUAAAAAUACAUUAAAUUUCAA
Long non-coding RNA from Biomphalaria glabrata, 2666 nucleotides. RefSeq lists it as uncharacterized. The record is from RefSeq and is a predicted model, not a curated record. The transcript is spliced from 3 exons. NCBI's taxonomy places the organism in Eukaryota, Metazoa, Mollusca, Gastropoda, Planorbidae.